AGCCCACUAGCUAGCUCACACCCUAAAGCACAACAACCCCUUAUUAAUAAACCCCCAUUACCUAGUAAUAGACCAAACAAACCAUUUUUCCUCCCAAGUAUGGGCGACAGAAAAGGACUACACCGAAGCAAUAGUAACAGUACCGCAAGGGAACGCUGAAAGAGAAAUGAAACAAAGCAGUAAAGCAUAGAAAAGCAGAGCUUAGCCCUCGUACCUUUUGCAUCAUGAUUUAGCAAGAAAUCAUCAAGCAAAGAGCAUUUUAGUUUGAUACCCCGAAACCAAGUGAGCUACUCCAAGACAGCCAGUAGGGCGAACCCGUCUCUGUGGCAAAAGAGUGGGAAGAGCUUUGAGUAGAGGUGACAGACCUACCGAACUUGGUUAUAGCUGGUUAUCCAGGAAGUGAAUAGGAGUUCAGCCUUUUGUCCUCUACCCCCACACCUGGCCACGCCCUCAAGCGUCCAAGAGGACAAAAGAGUUAGUCAAAGGGGGUACAGCCCCUUUGAAAAAGAUACAACUUUCCCAGAAGGGUUAAGAUCAUAACUCCAACCAAGGAAACGUGUUCUAGUUGGCCUAAAAGCAGCCACCCACACAGAAAGCGUUAAAGCUCAUACACCUUCCCCCCCCCCCCAUUAUACGGACUACAACAUCUUAUCCCCCUAUAGAUACUGGAUCUUUUCAUACCCCUUAUGAAAGAGAUCAUGCUAAUAUGAGUAAUAAGAGGCCCUGACCCUCUCCAAGCACAAGUAUACAUCGGAACGAACCAACACCGACAAUUAACGGCCCCAAAAGAAGAGGACACUGGAAUAUAAUGGCCAGGCCACAAGAAAAACAUCCACCCCUCCCCCGUUAACCUUACACCAGAGUGCAAACAAGGAAAGACUAAAAGAGAAAGAAGGAACUCGGCA
Molecule: ribosomal RNA, 905 nt
Filed under: Apogon hyalosoma
Lineage: Eukaryota; Metazoa; Chordata; Actinopteri; Kurtiformes; Apogonidae
Description: partial 16S ribosomal RNA
Rfam family: Bacterial large subunit ribosomal RNA (bases 193-905)
Source: RNAcentral